This 457-nucleotide small RNA is filed under the name Pongo abelii (Sumatran orangutan). RNAcentral's name for it is "retained intron". Lineage: Eukaryota; Metazoa; Chordata; Mammalia; Primates; Hominidae. The record is from RNAcentral.
UAUAAGUGAUUAUUCAAAUGUUUGUUUUAACACCGUGAAUGCAUAUAACAUGUUAAUAUUUUCAUCUUUUAGUUGUAAGGCUCCUCUCUAUGAUCUGGCUGCUCAUGAAGACAAAGUUCUGAGUGUCGACUGGACAGACACAGGGCUACUUCUGAGUGGAGGAGCAGACAAUAAAUUGUAUUCCUACAGAUAUUCACCUACCACUUCCCAUGUUGGGGCAUGAAAGUGAACAAUAAUUUGACUAUAGAGAUUAUUUCUGUAAAUGAAAUUACAUAGAUGCAGAAAGCAGCCUUUUGAAGUUUAUAUAAUGUUUUCACCCUUCAUAACAGCUAAUGUAUCACUUUUUCUUAUUUUGUAUUUAUAAUAAGAUAGGUUGUCUUUAUAAAUUACAAACUGUGGCAUGCAUUCUCUAUACAAACUUGAAAUUAAACUGAGUUUUACAUUUCUCUUUAAAGGU